UAGGGAAUCUUCCACAAUGGGCGAAAGCCUGAUGGAGCAACGCCGCGUGUGCGAUGAAGGCUUUCGGGUCGUAAAGCACUGUUGUAUGGGAAGAACAGCUAGAAUAGGAAAUGAUUUUAGUUUGACGGUACCAUACCAGAAAGGGACGGCUAAAUACGUGCCAG
This 164-nucleotide ribosomal RNA is filed under the name uncultured bacterium. Its description in RNAcentral is "partial 16S ribosomal RNA". It matches the Rfam family "Bacterial small subunit ribosomal RNA", at positions 355 to 511 of the family's 1533-position model. The record is from RNAcentral.